CCUACGGGGGGCAGCAGUAGGGAAUUUUGCGCAAUGGGCGAAAGCCUGACGCAGCAAAGCCGCGUGAACGAGACGCCCUUCGGGGUGUAAAGUUCUGUCAGUGGGACGAACAAUGACGGUACCCACAGAGGAAGCACGGGGUAACUCCGUGCCAGCAGCCGCGGUAAUACGGGGGGCGCAAGCGUUGUCCCGAAUCAUUGGGCGUAAAGAGUUCGUAGGCGGCAUGUAAAGUCAGGUGGUAAAGGCGCAGGCUCAACCUGUGUAUAGCACUUGAUACUUGCAAGCUGGAGUGCGGUAGAGGUAAGGGGAAUGCGUGGUGUAGCGGUGAAAUGCUUAGAUAUCAGGAAGAACAUCGAUGGCGUAAGCGCUUUACUGGGGCGUAAUUGACGCUGAGGAACGAAAGCCAGGGUAGCGAAUGGGAUUAGAUACCCGGGUAGUC
This 439-nucleotide ribosomal RNA is filed under the name uncultured bacterium. Its description in RNAcentral is "partial 16S ribosomal RNA". It matches the Rfam family "Bacterial small subunit ribosomal RNA", at positions 338 to 795 of the family's 1533-position model. The record is from RNAcentral.